ACGUCGUGAGACAGUUCGGUCCCUAUCUGUGGUGGGCGUUAGAAAUUUGAGAAGACCUGACUUUAGUACGAGAGGACCGAGUCGGACAGACCUCUAGUGUAUCUGUUGUGGCGCCAGCUGCAUUGCAGAGUAGCUACGUCUGGACUGGAUAAGCGCUGAAAGCAUCUAAGCACGAAGCCAACUUCAAGAUGAGAUUUCCUUAAAGGGUCGUCGCAGACUACGACGUUGAUAGGCUGCAGGUGUAAAGACAGUAAUGUCAAAGCCGAGCAGUACUAAUUGCCCGAAACUUUACUUUC
This is a non-coding RNA of Bacteroidetes bacterium GWA2_32_17, 296 nucleotides long. Lineage: Bacteria; Pseudomonadati; Bacteroidota. The record is from Rfam.